This 564-nucleotide ribosomal RNA is filed under the name uncultured Glomeromycotina. Its description in RNAcentral is "SSU rRNA". It matches the Rfam family "Eukaryotic small subunit ribosomal RNA", at positions 548 to 1114 of the family's 1831-position model. The record is from RNAcentral. Lineage: Eukaryota; Fungi; Glomeromycota.
UUGGAGGGCAAGUCUGGUGCCAGCAGCCGCGGUAAUUCCAGCUCCAAUAGCGUAUAUUAAAGUUGUUGCAGUUAAAAAGCUCGUAGUUGAAUUUCGGGAUCAAAUUGUCGGUCGUGCCUCGGUACGCACUGGUAUUAUUGGUUCCUACCUUCUGAAGAACCGCGAUGUCAUUAAUUUGGUGUCGUGGGGAAUCAGGACUGUUACUUUGAAAAAAUUAGAGUGUUUAAAGCAGGCUUUAGCUUGAAUACAUUAGCAUGGAAUAAUGAAAUAGGACGUUCGAUCCUAUUUUGUUGGUUUCUAGGAUUGACGUAAUGAUUAAUAGGGAUAGUUGGGGGCAUUAGUAUUCAAUUGUCAGAGGUGAAAUUCUUGGAUUUAUUGAAGACUAACUACUGCGAAAGCAUUUGCCAAGGAUGUUUUCAUUAAUCAAGAACGAAAGUUAGGGGAUCGAAGACGAUCAGAUACCGUCGUAGUCUUAACCAUAAACUAUGCCGACUAGGGAUCGGAUGAUGUUGACUUUUUAAUGACUCAUUCGGCGCCUUACGGGAAACCAAAGUGUUUGGGUUC